UUUCAAGAUGUAUAAAUGAAAGUGGGUAAACAAAGAUGGCACCAAAUUUGAUUUCUAAACUCACGCUAAACCCAAUACCUUUUUUGUUAUGAACUUACUGAGCAAAGAAAACAACGUCGGCUGAUGACAUGGAUCCACGUUCAAUAAACAUUUUGGCAAAUUUGUCAAAAACAGCUUGGACAGAAGCAGCACCGGCAGCUUUCUCAGCAUUGAUGUCAGCAGCUAAUUGUCCAAGUUCUCCUUCACCUAACUUGGACAUGAUAACAUCAACGUCUUUUAACACACUGUCAACAUGCUCAGCUGAAGGAACGUCAGUUGCACUAAAAUAGUUGAAGUCUUUGAGAGCGUUCUUGACAACCUUUUUAUCACGCUUUUGGGCCUUCUUUUUAUCCUCCUUAGCCUUUUUGUUAGCAGCAGCAGCAGAG
Molecule: non-coding RNA, 425 nt
Organism: Schizosaccharomyces pombe (fission yeast)
Lineage: Eukaryota; Fungi; Ascomycota; Schizosaccharomycetes; Schizosaccharomycetales; Schizosaccharomycetaceae
Source: the annotation of a GenBank genome assembly